GAGUAACACGUGGGUAACCCUGGCCCAUAAGAGGGGGGAUAACAUCCGGAAACGGGUGCUAAUACCGCAUAGUUUUCUUGAUCGCAUGAUUGAGAAAGGAAAGACGGCCUUUGUGCUGUCGCUUAUGGAUGGACCCGCGGCGUAUUAGUUAGUUGGUGAGGUAACGGCUCACCAAGACGAUGAUACGUAGCCGACCUGAGAGGGUGAUCGGCCACAUUGGGACUGAGACACGGCCCAAACUCCUACGGGAGGCAGCAGUAGGGAAUCUUCCGCAAUGGACGAAAGUCUGACGGAGCAACGCCGCGUGAGUGAAGAAAGGUUUUCGGAUCGUAAAACUCUGUUGUCAGAGAAGAACAAGUUGGAGAGUAACUGCUCCAGCCUUGACGGUAUCUGACCAGAAAGCCACGGCUAACUACGUGCCAGCCGCCGC
RNAcentral lists this ribosomal RNA (430 nucleotides) under uncultured bacterium. Its description in RNAcentral is "bacterial SSU rRNA". It matches the Rfam family "Bacterial small subunit ribosomal RNA", at positions 108 to 518 of the family's 1533-position model. The record is from RNAcentral.